UCCUAUUCCUGGACAAAUGUUUACUGGAGCAGUAAGUGGCUGCAGGAGCAACUCUAAUCACAUCACAACAAUAUCAUGUGGAUAUAUUGAAAAGGUAAUGUCUGCCCAUUUCUCUAACUGAAGAGAGGAGAGCAGAUGAGAAGAAAGGCAUGAGACAGAGACAAUAAUGAGAUUGUGAGAGGCACGACGAUAUAGUGGAAGUGAUGAACAGCCUAAGCAAGUGAAAGGCCAAAAUAAAGUACGGGAGCUGAAGAGGCAUAGUUAUUAGAAGAAGCAAUACAGAAGAUGCACAAGAACACAACUACUGCAUCAUAGAUGAACUGACUGUACAAACAUCACAGAAGGAAGACACUGGGGAAAGCUUAUCCAUGCAAGAUUCAAGACCAGGAAGAUUCUAUCCCAUGAGUUCCUAUCUCGAAAACCCAUAAUUCUUGAUGUGCUAGGUCAAGAACUAAUAUUGUUUGAUAUUCUUCAUCAUAUUGACAAAACAUGAGGGGGUGGCUCAUGUUUAGUGAGCUUGGGUGGCUGCUUUGUGAUGCAGAGUGAUACCAACAGUGUGGGCUUAAUUCCUGCGCCAGCGAAUGUUACCAUGAAGGGCUCUCUUUCUCAUUCUCUCCCCUCACUAUGGUGUGAUGACCCUCAGGUUAAACCACUGUCUCUCUCUAAAAUGAGGGAGCAGCCCUCUGCUCGUCUGGGGCUAUGGCAACCUUACCUUUACACAUGGAUGGUGUCAUGGUUGAUCACAGUUGUAAAGUUAUACCUUAGAACACAUUGUUUUAAUGAAACUGCUUGUCACAAAGCAAUAAGUAAUGAUUGUCAGUUCUUCAUUUGACAAAUAAUCCUGGAUCGUUGUUGAUAAUCUGAAUGUAGAAUUUUAUAUUUCCUAUGGAGAAUUUUCAUUUAUGGCUAUAUAGAGGAAACAGCGUAGAUUGACAGAUAAAGAUUGGUGAUGACACACAGGAAUCAUAACUGUAAGCUUUUUAUAUCUUGGAUUCUGGAUUUAUAAUUCUGCAGAUAUGUCUUAGCCACUCUAAACAGUGUUACCAAAUCGUUGCCUAUAUUUGUACAUUUGUCAUUUCACUAUCAAAUAUCAAUUUCCACAGUAAAGUUGUUUGUUUUUCAAAUACCACUUCCAUAAUGACCCUGUUGUUAUUGAGUGGCUUGAAAUCCUAUAUAAAUGAAAGUUUAAUAGUUGCAUUUAAUGUGAUUAGAAUAGGUAUUUAGUAAAGCAAUCACUUUUUUCUCCUUGGUGCCCUAGCAUGUGAUUUUAAUAAAGAAUUCACUGCCAUUAUCCUUGAAAAAUAAAGAAAAAUAACCUACUUAUUUAUA
Non-coding RNA from Chiloscyllium plagiosum (whitespotted bambooshark), 1329 nucleotides. Lineage: Eukaryota; Metazoa; Chordata; Chondrichthyes; Orectolobiformes; Hemiscylliidae. The record is from RefSeq and is a predicted model, not a curated record.